Molecule: ribosomal RNA, 305 nt
Filed under: uncultured bacterium
Lineage: Bacteria
Description: partial 16S ribosomal RNA
Rfam family: Bacterial small subunit ribosomal RNA
Source: RNAcentral
CCUACGGGGGGCAGCAGUCGAGAAUCAUUCACAAUGGGGGAAACCCUGAUGGUGCGACGCCGCGUGGGGGAAGAAGGUCUUCGGAUUGUAAACUCCUGUCCGAGGGGACGAUAAUGACGGUACCCUUGGAGGAAGCACCGGCUAACUACGUGCCAGCAGCCGCGGUAAAACGUAGGGUGCAAGCGUUGUCCGGAAUUACUGGGUGUAAAGGGAGCGCAGGCGGACUGUCAAGUUGGGAGUGAAAACUACGGGCUCAACCCGUAACUUGCUUUCAAAACUGGCGGUCUUGAGGGGGGGAUAGGUAG